RNAcentral lists this transfer RNA (88 nucleotides) under Candidatus Aenigmatarchaeota archaeon. Its description in RNAcentral is "tRNA-Leu". It matches the Rfam family "tRNA". Rfam says of the family: Transfer RNA (tRNA) molecules are approximately 80 nucleotides in length. The record is from RNAcentral. Lineage: Archaea; Nanobdellati; Candidatus Aenigmatarchaeota.
GCGGGAGUAGCAAAGCCUGGCCAAAUGCGCAGGACUUAAGAUCCUGUGGGUUAGUCCCUUCGCCAGUUCGAAAUUCUGGCCUCCCGCA